RNAcentral lists this ribosomal RNA (702 nucleotides) under Enterococcus faecium. RNAcentral's name for it is "bacterial SSU rRNA". It matches the Rfam family "Bacterial small subunit ribosomal RNA", at positions 114 to 802 of the family's 1533-position model. The record is from RNAcentral. Lineage: Bacteria; Bacillati; Bacillota; Bacilli; Lactobacillales; Enterococcaceae.
CACGUGGGUAACCUGCCCAUCAGAAGGGGAUAACACUUGGAAACAGGUGCUAAUACCGUAUAACAAUCAAAACCGCAUGGUUUUGAUUUGAAAGGCGCUUUCGGGUGUCGCUGAUGGAUGGACCCGCGGUGCAUUAGCUAGUUGGUGAGGUAACGGCUCACCAAGGCCACGAUGCAUAGCCGACCUGAGAGGGUGAUCGGCCACAUUGGGACUGAGACACGGCCCAAACUCCUACGGGAGGCAGCAGUAGGGAAUCUUCGGCAAUGGACGAAAGUCUGACCGAGCAACGCCGCGUGAGUGAAGAAGGUUUUCGGAUCGUAAAACUCUGUUGUUAGAGAAGAACAAGGAUGAGAGUAACUGUUCAUCCCUUGACGGUAUCUAACCAGAAAGCCACGGCUAACUACGUGCCAGCAGCCGCGGUAAUACGUAGGUGGCAAGCGUUGUCCGGAUUUAUUGGGCGUAAAGCGAGCGCAGGCGGUUUCUUAAGUCUGAUGUGAAAGCCCCCGGCUCAACCGGGGAGGGUCAUUGGAAACUGGGAGACUUGAGUGCAGAAGAGGAGAGUGGAAUUCCAUGUGUAGCGGUGAAAUGCGUAGAUAUAUGGAGGAACACCAGUGGCGAAGGCGGCUCUCUGGUCUGUAACUGACGCUGAGGCUCGAAAGCGUGGGGAGCAAACAGGAUUAGAUACCCUGGUAGUCCACGCCG